RNAcentral lists this ribosomal RNA (692 nucleotides) under uncultured bacterium. Its description in RNAcentral is "bacterial SSU rRNA". It matches the Rfam family "Bacterial small subunit ribosomal RNA", at positions 28 to 713 of the family's 1533-position model. The record is from RNAcentral.
AGUGAACGCUGGCGGCAGGCCUAACACAUGCAAGUCGAACGGCAGCACAGAGGAGCUUGCUCCUUGGGUGGCGAGUGGCGGACGGGUGAGGAAUACAUCGGAAUCUGCCUAGUCGUGGGGGAUAACGUAGGGAAACUUACGCUAAUACCGCAUACGACCUACGGGUGAAAGCGGGGGAUCGCAAGACCUCGCGCGAUUAGAUGAGCCGAUGUCCGAUUAGCUAGUUGGCGGGGUAAUGGCCCACCAAGGCGUCGAUCCGUAGCUGGUCUGAGAGGAUGAUCAGCCACACUGGGACUGAGACACGGCCCAGACUCCUACGGGAGGCAGCAGUGGGGAAUAUUGGACAAUGGGCGCAAGCCUGAUCCAGCCAUGCCGCGUGUGUGAAGAAGGCCUUCGGGUUGUAAGCACUUUGUCGGGUAAGAAAUCGUGCGGAUUAAUACUUCGUACGGAUGACGGUACCGAAAGAAUAAGCACCGGCUAACUUCGUGCCAGCAGCCGCGGUAAUACGAAGGGUGCAAGCGUUACUCGGAAUCACUGGCGUAAAGCGUGCGUAGGCGGUUGGUUAAGUCUGCUGUGAAGCCCUGGGCUCAACCUGGGAGCUGCAGUGGAUACUGGCUAGCUAGAGUGUGAUAGAGGAUGGUGGAAUUCCCGGUGUAGCGGUGAAAUGCGUAGAGAUCGGGAGGAACACCAGU